UACGUAGGGCGCAAGCGUUGUCCGGAAUUAUUGGGCGUAAAGAGCUCGUAGGCGGCCUGUUGCGUCCGCUGUGAAAUCCCGGGGCUCAACCCCGGGCGUGCAGUGGAUACGGGCUGGCUGGAGGCAGGCAGGGGAGAACGGAAUUCCUGGUGUAGUGGUGAAAUGCGUAGAGAUCGGGAGGAACACCGGUGGCGAAGGCGGCCAGCUGGCGCUGACCUGACGCUGAGGCGCGAAGGCGUGGGGAGCGAACGGG
Molecule: ribosomal RNA, 253 nt
Filed under: uncultured bacterium
Lineage: Bacteria
Description: partial 16S ribosomal RNA
Rfam family: Bacterial small subunit ribosomal RNA
Source: RNAcentral